CGCACACCUUUUAGAUUUCUGACAUUUAAUCAAUUCCCUUCAAAUGAUAUUGAGCUUUAAAUGAUGGUAUAUUUUGUGUAUGAGCCCAUGCAGUAAUAAAAUACAUGGCAAUAUUUAUAUAUGAUUUAAUAGUUUAUUUUGUUAAAUAUCAGAAAUCUAAGAGGUGUGCAUCUUACCUGACACCUAUAUGAACACUUUACAGUUGUUUGUGUGUCUGUAAGUCAUUCCCUUCAAAUGCUAUUGAAGGGGGAAAGGUGUUUAACAAUGUCGUAUGUAACUUUGGAGACGGUCCCUUAAUUUCCGCAAACCUGCGAAUAUCGAACGUCCAACAUCAAACAAACUUUAUUCCAGUGUGAGAACCCAAGGCUGGCUUGUAACAUCAAGGAAGGGGCUUAUAACAUCAGAGGCUGCCUUUAUCUCAUUAAUGUUAUUAACAUCACACAUCCUAUGUCCGUGACACUGACCAUCGACUUUCUUCAGAUGAGAUGCCUGAACUCCUGAAAUCCUCCUGUACCAGAUGCACACUUUAAUAGAUAGGGUGGAGCUUCAGCGGUUCACAACAUAGUGUGUGGAGGGUUAAAAGACUGAACCAUGAAGUUGAUAGUGGAUGUAGUGUGGAUGAUAUGGGGCAUCGGUGCAUCUGUGUACGAUUACUUCCACACCAGCGCCAUGGAGGAGAGGAUCCACACUCUGGAGAACGUCCUCACCAUCCACCAGUUUCUCAUCGUGUUCCUCUCAGCAAGCCUCGUCCUGCUUAUCUCCUACAUCGUCUUUAAGAAGAAAUGACAUGCCGGAAACCUCGAAAACCUGGGAGCCUCGAGGAACCAUGAGACAACCACUCUGCUCCUCAGUGAAUGAGGAUGAUUGUAUAGAUAGAUGAACGGUUGUGUCAGAUUGUCUGACCAUAUCAAAUGUAGCUAUGAAACAUUGACAAGGUUUACAAUAUUUUGUAUUUAAAGAAAUACACCAUUUCUAACAUGUUGUUCUACAGAGACAGUUUUGUCUACCAUGUUUCUCUUGUCAUGACCUGUGGAAUUAUGGGAUUACAACAUAACUGUGCACUCAAUAUCACACCAUACAACAGAUUACCAGAACUCUCAAAAACUAUUUUUUCUUCCUCAAACCAAGUUCAAGUACUUUUUUUUAGUACUCAUCAAUACAGAUACAGUAAUGAUUAACCUACUUAGAAUAUUAAUCAUGCUAAGUAGAUUAGCAUGCCACAAAUAACAUGUUAUGGCGCUUAAAUGGUCUCAUUAAUAGAUGGUGUGAAGGUGGCCAUCUUGAGGAAGCUGACGUUGCUCAAUGCUUGUCAUGUGCAACAGUUUCUCUUUACAGCUCCACUGUUAUUUUUAAUGACCACACUGGCUGAAACUGCUCUGUACGCUCAGCUCAACACUCUAUAUUAAUAAAGAUACUGUUUAAAUGCCGUGA
This is a long non-coding RNA of Ictalurus punctatus (channel catfish), 1431 nucleotides long. RefSeq lists it as uncharacterized. The transcript is spliced from 2 exons. The record is from RefSeq and is a predicted model, not a curated record. Lineage: Eukaryota; Metazoa; Chordata; Actinopteri; Siluriformes; Ictaluridae.